UUUGAUCCUGGCUCAGAUUGAACGCUGGCGGCAUGCCUUACACAUGCAAGUCGAACGGCAGCACGGGAGCAAUCCUGGUGGCGAGUGGCGAACGGGUGAGUAAUAUAUCGGAACGUGCCCAGUCGUGGGGGAUAACGCAGCGAAAGCUGUGCUAAUACCGCAUACGAUCUCUGGAUGAAAGCGGGGGACUCGUAAGAGCCUCGCGCGAUUGGAGCGGCCGAUAUCAGAUUAGCUAGUUGGUGGGGUAAAGGCCCACCAAGGCGACGAUCUGUAGCUGGUCUGAGAGGACGACCAGCCACACUGGAACUGAGACACGGUCCAGACUCCUACGGGAGGCAGCAGUGGGGAAUUUUGGACAAUGGGCGCAAGCCUGAUCCAGCAAUGCCGCGUGCAGGAUGAAGGCCUUCGGGUUGUAAACUGCUUUUGUACGGAACGAAAAGGUCUGCCUUAAUACGGUGGGCCCAUGACGGUACCGUAAGAAUAAGCACCGGCUAACUACGUGCCAGCAGCCGCGGUAAUACGUAGGGUGCGAGCGUUAAUCGGAAUUACUGGGCGUAAAGCGUGCGCAGGCGGUUAUAUAAGACAGAUGUGAAAUCCCCGGGCUCAACCUGGGACCUGCAUUUGUGACUGUAUAGCUAGAGUACGGUAGAGGGGGGAUGGAAUUCCGCGUGUAGCAGUGAAAUGCGU
This 687-nucleotide ribosomal RNA is filed under the name uncultured bacterium. RNAcentral describes it as "bacterial SSU rRNA". It matches the Rfam family "Bacterial small subunit ribosomal RNA", at positions 12 to 691 of the family's 1533-position model. The record is from RNAcentral.